Molecule: non-coding RNA, 29 nt
Filed under: Bombyx mori (domestic silkworm)
Lineage: Eukaryota; Metazoa; Arthropoda; Insecta; Lepidoptera; Bombycidae
Source: RNAcentral
UGUUAGCCUGUGACAUCUAUUGACGACAU